AAAAAGUGCUACACCCACAAAGUAGGUUUUAAAUACUUUAAAUAGUUUUAAUCUAGUUUAUUUUAUUUGUUUUAUACUAAAACGUAUUAAUAUACUUUCUCUUUACUUAAAAUAUAUCAGUUUUUAUAUAACAAUAUAUUUUAAGUAAAGCUAUUGCAAUUUAUUUGGGUAGUUAUUUGUAUAUGGUUGUUGUGUACAAGAAAUGUUAUAAAAGUGAGUUGACAUACACAAUUUAUUAGAGCAGUUGUCGGUGUGACAGGUUUGUUCAUCAAACGUAAAUAUUUUAAAAUUUUUAGUAGUUGGCAUUAUCCAUUUUUCACUGGCGGGGACUUGCCCAGGCAGAUGCAGCAUCUUCGACACUUCAACUGUUUGAACGCUGCAGCGGAUCUUUUCAGGGACUGAUUAACACGAUACCCAAGCACUUUUGUUACCUGAGGGUCUUCAAGCUUCAUAUUCAGAGUCAUGAUGAAAGCGAGGUGCAGGCUGAGCUUGGCAGUUGCCCACUGAAAAUUUACAUGUGCCAUCAUCCCGACACAAUUGGAAUUAUCAUAGAAGGAAAGCCCGUGGUCAGAGGUGUGCCAAACCUGUCGAAAGCAUGCUGCCUCUUGUUUGGACUUACAUAUGCCCUCGACCUCAAGUAUCCCCCAAAGUUGGUGUACACAUUCGAGAUAUAUCAGAGGCUGUUUGUGGGAUUGGACCCCAUGCGUCCUAAGCCAUCAUCCAAGUAUACCAAUCUCCUCAUUAAGUUAUCUUAGAUGUUUUCUCAAUGACAUCUGACAUUGUUUGCCAUCAUUUAACAAGUCUCUGAAUUUUACAAGUAUUUUGAUUUAAAAUACAAAAAUCUUACAGAUUUUCUUUUUUCGUUUGUUUUUUGGCUAUUUCACUUAACUGUUCAGAACAGGUUGAAAUUACACUUACACAAUGUUUGUUUUAUAUUAUUGUGUACAUGUGCAGCCACAUUAAUGGCCUGUUUUGUAGUCACUGCUAAAUGUGACACUGGUUGACACUGAAUAAAUGUUGUCUUCAGUCUAUCCUAUCUUUUUCUUCUUCAAUUGAUUUUGUAAUUGUUAUUGACAGUCUGUUUAUAUAAAGUUAAUCACUGUAGGGUUUAGAAUAUAAACAUUUAAAUUUCUUUUCUGAGGGUAUAGUCAGGACUCAAUUAAAAUGUUUAUUCAAAUAUGAUUAGAUUAAUUUUACUAAAAACAUAAAGUUCAUAAAACCUAAUUAAAAUGAGUACAGGUUGCUUGUAGCAACCCAUAAAUAAGUUACCUGUACCAAGAAAAGUAGGUUUAUCUAAGUAAUACUAGUACUAUUAGUUACCUCAACUUGAUUUUGUUGCAUUUGUAUUAAGUAAUGUUACUGUGUUUAUUAUACUUAAAAAAGACUGCAAGUUGACUCAACUUAAAACAUCCAAUGCAGCCACUUGCCUCACUUUUUAUAAGUUAGAUCUAGGUAUUACUUUUU
This is a long non-coding RNA of Puntigrus tetrazona (Sumatra barb), 1464 nucleotides long. RefSeq lists it as uncharacterized. The transcript has 3 exons. The record is from RefSeq and is a predicted model, not a curated record. NCBI's taxonomy places the organism in Eukaryota, Metazoa, Chordata, Actinopteri, Cypriniformes, Cyprinidae.